GCCCGCCUAGCUCAAUCGGAUAGAGCGUCAGACUCUUAAGACGGGAGAUGGGUGUAUCUGAAGGCUGCGAGUUCGACCCUCGCGGUGGGCU
This 91-nucleotide transfer RNA is filed under the name Lentinula edodes (shiitake mushroom). RNAcentral describes it as "tRNA-Lys". It matches the Rfam family "tRNA". Rfam says of the family: Transfer RNA (tRNA) molecules are approximately 80 nucleotides in length. Their secondary structure includes four short double-helical elements and three loops (D, anti-codon, and T loops). Further hydrogen bonds mediate the characteristic L-shaped molecular structure. tRNAs have two regions of fundamental functional importance: the anti-codon, which is responsible for specific mRNA codon recognition, and the 3' end, to which the tRNAs corresponding amino acid is attached (by aminoacyl-tRNA synthetases). tRNAs cope with the degeneracy of the genetic code in two manners: having more than one tRNA (with a specific anti-codon) for a particular amino acid; and 'wobble' base-pairing, i.e. permitting non-standard base-pairing at the 3rd anti-codon position. Lineage: Eukaryota; Fungi; Basidiomycota; Agaricomycetes; Agaricales; Omphalotaceae. The record is from RNAcentral.